RNAcentral lists this long non-coding RNA (1672 nucleotides) under Panax ginseng (ginseng). RNAcentral's name for it is "long non-coding RNA (PGIN_LNC016230)". Lineage: Eukaryota; Viridiplantae; Streptophyta; Magnoliopsida; Apiales; Araliaceae. The record is from RNAcentral.
CUACCAAUACCAUGCCAUGGUUUCCUGAAGUUGUAUCGGAAUUGACUCCAUCAUUUGGACCUGCACCACAUUCCGGUGAAGCAUACUUUGGGGCCCAUGAAAAAUUCACAUCAAUUUCAUCGAUUGCACCUGCCUUGCAUUCCCAUAAAGUAGAUCAUUCUGAUUAUCAAAGGUAUCGAGGGCAACAGCCAAAAGGAGUCUCACCACGGUUUCCUGAAGUUGUGUCGGAAUUGAUUUCAUCCGUUGCAACUCCAUUACAUUCCCAAAAAUUAGAUUAUCAAACCAAUAAUCAGUACUCGUCAUUUGAACCUGCACUACAUUCCGGUGAAGCAUACUUUGGGCCCCAUGAAAAGUUCUCAUCAAUUUCAUUGAUUGCACCUGCCCUACAUUCCCAUAAACCAGAUCAUUCUGAUUAUCAAGGGCAACAGCCAAAAGGAAUCUCACCUCAAGAUUUAAUCUAUGAUCACCACACUCCAGCUUAUUUUCAAAGGUCUCAAGUGCAACAGCCGGUAUACCAGGCUAACGCUUAUUAUCAAGUGCAACCGCCAGAAAGGAGUAAGAAUUUUUAUCAACAAGGGAUUGAAGAUAUAAUUCAUCCCAAAUUACAGUACAGCCACCACAGGGGAAGACAAAAUAAUGAGUUUAGCUAUGCUCAUAUUGACUAUGGUAAUUAAGGCUUUGAUGAUUAUGAUGAUAAGAUAAUGAGUUUACCAUGUUAGAUCUGUUGGUUAUGCUCCAAAAUCUUAUGUUUUUUGCAAAGUCCCACAUUGGCUAUUCUUGGAACUCUCAUAGUGCAUAUUAGUACUUGUUGUUAUAGACUUAGUAACAUGGUUGAGGAAAUUGAAGGCUUGCUGUUGAAUCCUGGAGGGUGAACGCCAUGGAUAGUGAGGGUAGAAUCACUUUUUAUGACAGUAGCUUUACUACGCCUCGGCUUCUUUCAUAUAACAGCUAAGUUGUUCCAAUUUGUUCGCCUAACUGCUCUUGCUGUUGUUGCUUCGCUACUGCUAUUGCACUGCUUCUGCUAACUGUUGUUAAUUUAUCUGGUUUCUAACAAGAUCACCUCCUUAUCUAAAAAGUUUACUUAUUAAGUUGACACUCUAUCAUAUUUAUUAACCCAUCUACACUUAAAUUUAUCUUAUGUGAGAUUCAUGUGAAAUAUUCCAACAAGAUGGGUGUAUUACGAAGCAAUUAUCAAUGUUUAUGAGAUCAAGGUUGCAGCGCAGUGAGACAUAAACCCAACCCCUCCACUGAAGGCAUGCCUCAUGUGGGUGCAAACAAAUCUUGAAACUCAAUAUAAUGGUACCAAAAGUGAAAAAAAAAGAAAUAAAAGACGAUGGAUUCAUCUUGAAGUUGAUACAACUCUAAGCUUUUCCUGGGAAAAAAUCAUAGCUACUAUUAACAAUCAUGUAUAUUGGCAAUGGUCAAUGUAUAUUAUAACAUCAAAUACAGAAAGAAAAGAGCCAUAAAAGUACAUUUUGAAAAGAAAAUGAAUUAGAAGACGAAAUUAAUGACCAGUUUUAUUUAGGGGAGGGGAAGGGAAGGGAAGGGAAGGGAAGGGAAGGGAAAGAAAAGUUGGAGCCUUUCCCUUCUAAAAUUAGAAAGAAAGUUUGAACUUUCUCUUCUCUUCCCCGUCAAAUAAAACUCACAAACAGGCCGUAAAUCACCAGCAACA